CGGCAAUCUGCUCCCUGCUAAUUGGUGCAGAUGGGAGUAAGGAGGGUGAGCAGAACACACGAGGGAGGAAGCAGAUACUCCUGGAAUUCUCUAUUCAUCACGAGAGAUCUCGGAGCUGUGUGUCAUUAUUCCUGCUUCACAGAGGAAGAAACUGAGCCUCAGACACAGCACCUGCACUCCAGUGAUUCCUGAGUUCAACAGUAGUCCCACUAGUGCAAAGACAUCAAUCCACGAUCAGACACACUGCUG
Suricata suricatta (meerkat) is the source of this 249-nucleotide long non-coding RNA. RefSeq lists it as uncharacterized. The transcript has 3 exons. The record is from RefSeq and is a predicted model, not a curated record. Lineage: Eukaryota; Metazoa; Chordata; Mammalia; Carnivora; Herpestidae.